Durio zibethinus is the source of this 126-nucleotide non-coding RNA. The record is from RefSeq and is a predicted model, not a curated record. Lineage: Eukaryota; Viridiplantae; Streptophyta; Magnoliopsida; Malvales; Malvaceae.
GUGUCAUGUGAUAACAGCUUCAUGCCCCAUCUGAUUACAUUUAGUGCAUUUAGCAUCAGGUCUUCUCCAGCAUCUAAAUGGAGGAUGACCCUUCUUUCCACAAUGUGGGCAAGAAGCCUAUCGGAG